ACGGCUCAGUAACACGUAGCUAACCUAACCUUAAGUCAAGCAUAAUCUUGGGAAACUAAGACUAAAUCUUGAUAAAAAAUAUUUUCUGGAAUGAGAUAUUUUUGAAACUCGAGCUUAAGGACGGGGCUGCGACUGAUUAGGUUGUUGUUGGUGUAAAGGACUAACAAGCCGAUAAUCAGUAAGGGCUCUUAGCGGAGAAGCCCUGAGAAGGAAUCUGAGACACUAUUCCUAGCCCUACGGGGUGCAGCAGUCGAGGAAAUUUUACAAUGCUCGCAAGAGUGAUAAAAUAAACCAGAGUGUUUCUCCUAGAGAAACUUUUAUUUGCUGUAAAAAGGCAAAUGAAUAAGGACUGGGCAAGACCGGUGCCAGCCGCCGCGGUAAUACCGGCGGUCCAAGUCGCAUCCACAUUUAUUGAGUCUAAAACAUUUGUAGCUUGUUUUAUAAGUCUCUUGUGAAAUCCUAUAUCUCAAGUAUAGGGCGUGCAAGAGAUACUAUAUUACUAGAGACUGGAAGACGCAAAGAGUAUGAUUGAGGUAGCGGUAAAAUGCAUUAAUCUCAAUUAGACUAACAAUGGCGAAGGCACUUUGCGAGUACAGAUCUGACAGUGAGGGAUGAAGGCUAGGGGCGCAAAAGGGAUUAGAUACCCCUGUAGUCCUAGCAGUAAACACUGCUCACUAAACAUUAGUACCUCCUCGAGAGGCAUUAGUGCUGUAGGGAAGCCGAAGAGUGAGCUACUUGGGAAGUAUAGUCGCAAGAUCGAAACUUAAAGGAAUUGGCGGGGGAG
This 784-nucleotide ribosomal RNA is filed under the name uncultured archaeon. RNAcentral describes it as "bacterial SSU rRNA". It matches the Rfam family "Archaeal small subunit ribosomal RNA", at positions 85 to 876 of the family's 1478-position model. The record is from RNAcentral.